RNAcentral lists this ribosomal RNA (447 nucleotides) under uncultured bacterium. Its description in RNAcentral is "bacterial SSU rRNA". It matches the Rfam family "Bacterial small subunit ribosomal RNA", at positions 328 to 792 of the family's 1533-position model. The record is from RNAcentral.
UGACCAGACUCCUACGGGAGGCAGCAGUGGGGGAUAUUGCACAAUGGGGGGAACCCUGAUGCAGCGACGCCGCGUGGGUGAAGAAGCGCCUCGGCGCGUAAAGCCCUGUCAGCAGGGAAGAAAAUGACGGUACCUGACUAAGAAGCCCCGGCUAACUACGUGCCAGCAGCCGCGGUAAUACGUAGGGGGCAAGCGUUAUCCGGAAUUACUGGGUGUAAAGGGAGCGCAGACGGCAGUGCAAGUCUGGAGUGAAAGCCCGUGGCUUAACCACGGGACUGCUCUGGAAACUGUGCAGCUAGAGUGCAGGAGAGGCAGGCGGAAUUCCUAGUGUAGCGGUGAAAUGCGUAGAUAUUAGGAGGAACACCGGUGGCGAAGGCGGCUUACUGGACCGUAACUGACGUUGAGGCUCGAAAGCGUGGGGAGCAAACAGGAUUAGAUACCCGGGUA